This 497-nucleotide ribosomal RNA is filed under the name uncultured bacterium. RNAcentral's name for it is "partial 16S ribosomal RNA". It matches the Rfam family "Bacterial small subunit ribosomal RNA", at positions 28 to 507 of the family's 1533-position model. The record is from RNAcentral.
GAUGAACGCUGGCGGCGUGCCUAAUACAUGCAAGUCGAGCGAACAGAUGAGGAGCUUGCUCCUCUGACGUUAGCGGCGGACGGGUGAGUAACACGUGGAUAACCUACCUAUAAGACUGGGAUAACUUCGGGAAACCGGAGCUAAUACCGGAUAAUAUAUUGAACCGCAUGGUUCAAUAGUGAAAGACGGUUUUGCUGUCACUUAUAGAUGGAUCCGCGCCGCAUUAGCUAGUUGGUAAGGUAACGGCUUACCAAGGCAACGAUGCGUAGCCGACCUGAGAGGGUGAUCGGCCACACUGGAACUGAGACACGGUCCAGACUCCUACGGGAGGCAGCAGUAGGGAAUCUUCCGCAAUGGGCGAAAGCCUGACGGAGCAACGCCGCAUGAGUGAUGAAGGUCUUCGGAUUGUAAAACUCUGUUAUUAGGGAAGAACAAAUGUGUAAGUAACUAUGCACGUCUUGACGGUACCUAAUCAGAAAGCCACGGCUAACUACGUG